Molecule: signal recognition particle RNA, 265 nt
Filed under: Bacillota bacterium
Lineage: Bacteria; Bacillati; Bacillota
Description: signal recognition particle sRNA large type
Rfam family: Bacterial large signal recognition particle RNA
About the family: The signal recognition particle (SRP) is a universally conserved ribonucleoprotein involved in the co-translational targeting of proteins to membranes. Archaeal SRP consists of a 7S RNA and homologues of the eukaryotic SRP19 and SRP54 proteins. In most bacteria, the SRP consists of a 4.5S RNA and the Ffh protein (a homologue of the eukaryotic SRP54 protein).
Source: RNAcentral
CCGUGCUAGAUGGGGAGGUAGCGGUGCCCUGAACCCGCAAUCCGCUGCAGCGGGGUUGAAUCCCUGCCCGAGGCCCUUCCCUUGUGGGGCUGGCCGGAGUAAGUGGCAAAGACGGUUGGGUCCUGCGCAACGAGGCCUUCUGAACCCCGUCAGGCCCGGAAGGGAGCAGCGGUAAGGAAUGUGUCGCGUGUGCCGCGGGAGCGCCUGACCCGAGUUAACUGCUUUGGUAUCGACCGGAAGGAGAGCGCCGACGGCAGGUGCGCGG